This 253-nucleotide ribosomal RNA is filed under the name uncultured bacterium. RNAcentral's name for it is "partial 16S ribosomal RNA". It matches the Rfam family "Bacterial small subunit ribosomal RNA", at positions 524 to 776 of the family's 1533-position model. The record is from RNAcentral.
UACGAAGGGAGCUAGCGUUGUUCGGAAUCACUGGGCGUAAAGCGCACGUAGGCGGAUUUGUUAGUCAGGGGUGAAAUCCCGGGGCUCAACCUCGGAACUGCCUUUGAUACUGCAGAUCUAGAGUCCGAUAGAGGUGGGUGGAAUUCCUAGUGUAGAGGUGAAAUUCGUAGAUAUUAGGAAGAACACCAGUGGCGAAGGCGGCUCACUGGUCCGGUACUGACGCUGAGGUGCGAAAGCGUGGGGAGCAAACAGG